This 848-nucleotide long non-coding RNA is filed under the name Triticum aestivum (bread wheat). Its description in RNAcentral is "long non-coding RNA (TAES_LNC023030)". Lineage: Eukaryota; Viridiplantae; Streptophyta; Magnoliopsida; Poales; Poaceae. The record is from RNAcentral.
CCCUUGUCACGAGAAAAGAGCAGAGUGGAGAGGAGGGAGAUCGAGCGACCAGACUAGAUGAGGCAGCCGACAGCGACAAGGGAUUCUUUGACCUGGGUGCCCCUCCAUGGCGUGCGCUUCUACUUCGAUUCGUGCCCCCGACGCCAUGCCUGGUGCCCCCAAGGAAGGUCUCGUCUUCUCCUCAUCCAUUCUUUUUGCUCUCUCUCUCUCUCUCUGUCCCUCUCUCUCUCUUUCCUUGAUCUGGGCGGGGCUGUAGGUGGAACCUCUAGAUGUGGCCACUGCGGUUGGGACAGAAGGAAGCACGAGCUUGCUCUAGCUGGGAGAGGGCAGGAGGAGGAAGCGCGGGUGGAGGUUCGUGAGGAAGAUUGCUAGGAAAUGGAGUUCUUCCGUGUCCGCUAUUUGCUCUUUGCUCGGUGCAUUCAUGUUGAAUCUAGCAAGACGAGCACAAGUUGGAGAGCUGCCGUUUCUUUGGUCGCGGUGCCACUGAUUUUUCAUCCAAAGUUGCACACUCUCCAGCAUAGUAAUGGAUGUAAUUAGGGAUGUCUUAUAUUCAGCUACUUUGUGUUUAAUUGAUUUGUAAUAUAGUCUAGUUGCACCAUAUAUUGAUGUUUAGUUGGCUUGUAAUGUAAUCUAGUUGCACAUACAUUGAUAUUUAGUUGGCAACAAGACUAGUUGCACACACAUUGAUGUUUAGUUGACAGGAAGACUAGCCGCACACACAUUGAUGUUUAGUUGGCUUGUAAUGUAGUCUAGUUGCACAUACAUUGAUGUUUAGUUGACAGGACUCUAGUUGCACACAUAUAUGCGUAAUUGACGCGACAAUGUAGUCUAGUUACACACAAAUUGAU